UUCCAGCUCCAAUAGCGUAUAUUAAAGUUGUUGCAGCCAAAAAGCUCGUAGUUGAAUUUCGGGACCAAUAUGUCGGUCGUACUUUGUACGGUACUAGCAUUAUUGGUUUCUCCCUUCUGAAGAACCGCGAUGUCAUUAAUUUGGUGUCGUGGGGAAUCAGGACUGUUACUUUGAAAAAAUUAGAGUGUUUAAAGCAGGCUCGCGCUUGAAUACAUUAGCAUGGAAUAAUGAAAUAGGACGUUUGAUUCUAUUUUGUUGGUUUCUAGGAUCGACGUAAUGAUUAAUAGGGAUAGUUGGGGGCAUUAGUAUUCAAUUGUCAGAGGUGAAAUUCUUGGAUUUAUUGAAGACCAACUACUGCGAAAGCAUUUGCCAAGGAUGUUUUCAUUAACCAAGAACGAAAGUUAGGGGAUCGAAGACGAUCAGAUACCGUCGUAGUCUUAACCAUAAACUAUGCCGACUAGGGAUCGG
This 468-nucleotide ribosomal RNA is filed under the name uncultured Glomus. RNAcentral describes it as "SSU rRNA". It matches the Rfam family "Eukaryotic small subunit ribosomal RNA", at positions 583 to 1056 of the family's 1831-position model. The record is from RNAcentral. Lineage: Eukaryota; Fungi; Glomeromycota; Glomeromycetes; Glomerales; Glomeraceae.